UACAGAGGUCUCAAGCGUUGUUCGGAUUCAUUGGGCGUAAAGGGUGCGUAGGCGGCGAGGUAAGUCGGAUGUGAAAUCCCGGGGCUCAACCCUGGAACUGCAUUCGAUACUGCCUUGCUCGAGGACUCGAGAGGAGAUUGGAAUUCACGGUGUAGCAGUGAAAUGCGUAGAUAUCGUGAGGAAGACCAGUGGCGAAGGCGGAUCUCUGGAGAGUUCCUGACGCUGAGGCACGAAGGCCAGGGGAGCAAACAGG
RNAcentral lists this ribosomal RNA (253 nucleotides) under uncultured bacterium. RNAcentral describes it as "partial 16S ribosomal RNA". It matches the Rfam family "Bacterial small subunit ribosomal RNA", at positions 524 to 776 of the family's 1533-position model. The record is from RNAcentral.